Molecule: long non-coding RNA, 1037 nt
Organism: Hemiscyllium ocellatum (epaulette shark)
Lineage: Eukaryota; Metazoa; Chordata; Chondrichthyes; Orectolobiformes; Hemiscylliidae
Exons: 4
Source: RefSeq, a predicted model, not a curated record
CACCAUGCAAGUAAAUCUCUUCAGCGGAGAGAGAGUGGUUCGUACAUAGACUGAACGUCCAGAGGAAGUGGUGGAUGUGGAUUCAGUUGCAGUGUUUAAAAGACGUUUGGGAUGUGGGCAUCGCAGGCCCAGGAGGGACAGGUGACUUUGGGCCUGCUAUCCCCCAAGCUUUCCAACGCUGGGGGCUCUCCACGCCUAUGUUGCAGACUCUUGGAUGAAGACUGAUCGCUGGAGUUGGUCAAGGGUGACAUCAUCACCUGAUGACGAGGAUGACGAACCUGAACAACCUGGACUCAGCACGUCCUGCCUUCCCACCAGCACACGCUCGAGACGAAUUACCUCAGCUCCAAUCUGGGCCGGGAUGCUGACAAACUCAGGGUUGGAGGCAAACGCCGUCAGGUUUUCCACAGCCUCGAUUAAAGGGGAAGUGGCUAACCUGCACUUGUCUCGAUUCUCUUCGGAGAAGUCACCAUCAAGGGCCUGAGAACCAAGGAACAGAAGGAGUGAACACUGCACCAGGUUGGCGGUGCUAUUGGCAACUUCCUUGGCCGACUGGACAAAGUGUCGCUUGGCAACCGGGUUGGCGGUUUUGGAGGAGGCGAUCCGGCAGGCGUUGCACAAUGCCGAAGUGUGUUUGGCGACGAUGGUAGCAGCAGACAGCACCUGCGCGAUGAGAGUUACGCAUUACCACGGACGCCAAACCCGAACAGGAGCAGCAACUGACCUUUCGCCAACAUUGCUGUGCCCCGCCUUUUUACCUGUGAUGGACUACUUGCUGGAUCCACUAGAUUCUGACACGCCAUCUGGAUCGCCUGAUUGGCCCGAGCAAACUGGAUGGGAUCCACUAGCCCCUGGUGCCCGGCUUGGCUGUUGGGAUCAGAUAUCCCAACCAGGUAACCAGCCUGCAUGAAGGGAGAUGUAAUAAAACUCAGUAAAGAGUUGGAUUGACAAUACGUUGGUAUCCCAACCCAUCCUCACAGCUAACUUUGAGUGCAAUGGAGUUCUUAAGCAUCGAGAAUUUAAAACAAGGACCUGCA